GAUGAACGCUGGCGGCGUGCCUAAUACAUGCCAGUCGAGCGAACGGACGAGAAGCUUGCUUCGCUGAUGUUAGCGGCGGACGGGUGAGUAACACGUGGAUAACCUACCUAUAAGACUGGGAUAACUUCGGGAAACCGGAGCUAAUACCGGAUAAUAUUUUGAACCGCAUGGUUCAAAAGUGAAAGACGGUCUUGCUGUCACUUAUAGAUGGAUCCGCUCUGCAUUAGCUAGUUGGUAAGGUAACGGCUUACCAAGGCAACGAUGCAUAGCCGACCUGAGAGCGUGAUCGGCCACCCUGGAAGUGAGACACGGUCCAGACUCCUACAGGAAGCAGCAGUAGAGAAUCUUACGCAAUGGGCGAAAGACUGACGGAGCAACGCCGCGUGAGUGAUGAAGGUCUUCGGAUCGUAAAACUCUGUUAUUAGGCAAGAACAUAUCUGUAAGUAACUGUGCACAUCAUGACGGUACCUAAUCAGAAAGCCACGGCUAACUACGUG
This 497-nucleotide ribosomal RNA is filed under the name uncultured bacterium. RNAcentral describes it as "partial 16S ribosomal RNA". It matches the Rfam family "Bacterial small subunit ribosomal RNA", at positions 28 to 507 of the family's 1533-position model. The record is from RNAcentral.